RNAcentral lists this small RNA (69 nucleotides) under Sinorhizobium meliloti 2011. RNAcentral describes it as "putative ncRNA". The record is from RNAcentral. Lineage: Bacteria; Pseudomonadati; Pseudomonadota; Alphaproteobacteria; Hyphomicrobiales; Rhizobiaceae.
ACAAACCGCCUUAGCGGAACCAGCGUCCAUUUCCCCGGGUUUCGACGGAAAUGGGCAAGGCACGUGAUU